RNAcentral lists this ribosomal RNA (430 nucleotides) under uncultured bacterium. RNAcentral describes it as "bacterial SSU rRNA". It matches the Rfam family "Bacterial small subunit ribosomal RNA", at positions 355 to 776 of the family's 1533-position model. The record is from RNAcentral.
UGGGGAAUCUUGCGCAAUGGACGAAAGUCUGACGCAGCCACGCCGCGUGAGUGAAGAAGGCCUUCGGGUUGUAAAGCUCUGUCACGAGGGACGAACGGCUAUUGGGUUAACAGCCCAGUGGAUUGACGGUACCUUGGGAGGAAGCACCGGCUAACUCUGUGCCAGCAGCCGCGGUAAUACAGAGGGUGCAAGCGUUGCUCGGAAUCAUUGGGCGUAAAGGGUAGGUAGGUGGUCUCAUUUGUCUGGGGUGAAAUCCCUGAGCUUAACUCAGGAACUGCCCCAGAAACGGUGAGACUCGAGUACUGGAGAGGGUCGUGGAAUUCCCGGUGUAGCGGUGAAAUGCGUAGAGAUCGGGAGGAACACCAGAGGCGAAGGCGGCGACCUGGACAGUAACUGACACUCAACUACGAAAGCGUGGGGAGCAAACAGG